AUACGGAGGAUCCGAGCGUUAUCCGGAUUUAUUGGGUUUAAAGGGAGCGUAGGCGGACGCUUAAGUCAGUUGUGAAAGUUUGCGGCUCAACCGUAAAAUUGCAGUUGAUACUGGGUGUCUUGAGUACAGUAGAGGCAGGCGGAAUUCGUGGUGUAGCGGUGAAAUGCUUAGAUAUCACGAAGAACUCCGAUUGCGAAGGCAGCCUGCUGGACUGUAACUGACGCUGAUGCUCGAAAGUGUGGGUAUCAAACAGGAUUAGAUACCCUGGUAGUCCACACAGUAAACGAUGAAUACUCGCUGUUUGCGAUAUACAGUAAGCGGCCAAGCGAAAGCGUUAAGUAUUCCACCUGGGGAGUACGCCGGCAACGGUGAAACUCAAAGGAAUUGACGGGGGCCCGCACAAGCGGAGGAACAUGUGGUUUAAUUCGAUGAUACGCGAGGAACCUUACCCGGGCUUGAAUUGCAACUGAAUGAUGUGGAGACAUGUCAGCCGCAAGGCAGUUGUGAAGGUGCUGCAUGGUUGUCGUCAGCUCGUGCCGUGAGGUGUCGGCUUAAGUGCCAUAACGAGCGCAACCCUUAUCGAUAGUUACCCUCAGGUUAUGCUGGGGACUCUGUCGAGACUGCCGUCGUAAGAUGUGAGGAAGGUGGGGAUGACGUCAAAUCAGCACGGCCCUUACGUCCGGGGCUACACACGUGUUACAAUGGGGGGUACAGAAGGCAGCUACACGGCGACGUGAUGCUAAUCCCUAAAGCCUCUCUCAGUUCGGAUUGGAGUCUGCAACCCGACUCCAUGAAGCUGGAUUCGCUAGUAAUCGCGCAUCAGCCACGGCGCGGUGAAUACGUUCCCGGGCCUUGUACACACCGCCCGUCAAGCCAUGAAAGCCGGGGGUACCUGAAGUGCGUAACCGCGAGGAGCGCCCUAGGGUAAAACUGGUGAUUGGGGCU
This 945-nucleotide ribosomal RNA is filed under the name uncultured bacterium. RNAcentral's name for it is "bacterial SSU rRNA". It matches the Rfam family "Bacterial small subunit ribosomal RNA", at positions 523 to 1482 of the family's 1533-position model. The record is from RNAcentral.